AAAGCCCACUCCAAAACUUCCUAGCUAAAGGGGCUUACAUAAGUUACGUAGCUUCUUUGUGCUAGAGUUUCCUUAUCUAUAAAACAGGAAAAAAUUAAUAACUGUCUCAUAGGUUGUUAUAUGGAUUGAAGGUGUUCAGAACAUUACCUGCCACACUGAUUAGUCUUAUAUUCAGGAUUAGCCUUAUAUUGCCUUCAGCAAAUCUUGCUCAAAUACCUAUUGGAGACAGGAAACAAUAUUUUACAAGCUAUAUGAACAAUGACUAUGCCACAGGGAAAGAGAAAGAUUACUGACAACAUAAAGAUCAAAGAGAGCAAGGACACUAUGGAAAGCCAGAUACUGCAUGGCGAGCCAGGCUUCC
Molecule: long non-coding RNA, 361 nt
Filed under: Vulpes vulpes (red fox)
Lineage: Eukaryota; Metazoa; Chordata; Mammalia; Carnivora; Canidae
Description: lncRNA (ENSVVUG00000013733.1)
Source: RNAcentral